CCCCAGAUGAAUGUUCUUAAGGGUUUUCAAAAUUAAAGCUAUUCAGAUCUCACAAUCUGAGUGGAUUCUAUUUUAAUGAUGGCGUAGCUAGAUGGUGGGUGACUUUUAAGGGAAAAUAACAUUUCUGUGUACUUGAAUAUUUUCUUAAUUUUUCAGGACUGACAUAAUUGUUUCAUCCUGUUUUUCCUUUCAGUGAAAGCACGGACAGCUCAAUUAGCCAAGAUAAAAUGGGUUGUAAGUGUUGCUUUCUACAUAUUGCAAGCUGCCCUGAUGAUCUCGCUCAUUUGGAAGUACUAUUCUGUCCCUGUGGCUGUUGUGCCGAGUAAGUGGAUAACCCCACUAGACCGCCUGGUAGCCUUUCCUACUAGAGUAGCAGGUGGUGUUGGAAUUACCUGUUGGAUUUUAGUCUGUAACAAAGUUGUGGCUAUCGUGCUUCACCCUUUCAGCUGAAAAGGGAGAUGAAACAGCUGCGAGCCUUUUAAAAAUGGAUUUUCUCUUAGGUUAAAAAUGUGAUUUACACUGUUUUGUUUUUAAGAAACAAAAAUGCACAGGUUAGGUUU
Molecule: long non-coding RNA, 560 nt
Organism: Galeopterus variegatus (Sunda flying lemur)
Lineage: Eukaryota; Metazoa; Chordata; Mammalia; Dermoptera; Cynocephalidae
Exons: 3
Source: RefSeq, a predicted model, not a curated record